Phycicoccus sp. Soil748 is the source of this 113-nucleotide non-coding RNA. The record is from Rfam. NCBI's taxonomy places the organism in Bacteria, Bacillati, Actinomycetota, Actinomycetes, Micrococcales, Intrasporangiaceae.
GGUCAUGAGUGUCAGCGCACAGCCCCGGCUUGCUGACCAGCAACCCUCCACCGCGGUGGGGUGCUCCGGGUGACGACCGGGCCGCCUGCAGGAGCAGGUGGCAAGCGCGGACC